RNAcentral lists this long non-coding RNA (4760 nucleotides) under Coffea arabica (coffee). RNAcentral's name for it is "long non-coding RNA (CARA_LNC006795)". The record is from RNAcentral. Lineage: Eukaryota; Viridiplantae; Streptophyta; Magnoliopsida; Gentianales; Rubiaceae.
AAAAAAAAAAAAAAAAAGGUCUCCCUUUCGGCUUUCCUUGAGCUUUCAACGGACAGAAAAAGCCAGACAAAAGAAAUUUUGGGUGCCCGAGGCUCCUGACUCUCCAUUUUUCUUCGGCUACCAACACAUUCUCUCCUUCAUUAAGGUACUUAUUUAUUUUUUAUUUUUUUUUUCUUUUUCCAGCUUUCCUUUCCUCAAUUAAUCAGAUUAAAUUCAUGCUGCCGUUUAUUUAUCCCUUGCUUUCGUUUGUUGUUGUUACUACUGAUAUUGUUGAAGUUUUGGGGUAAAGCCAUGAAUAAACAUUAAGAAAAAGAUGAUUUCUGUGAAUGCAUGUUAGAUGUUUGUAAAAAUGCAAAAAAUGGAAAACGAAUUAAAAGCUGAAUAUUGUGCAUGUUUUUCUUGUCAAAAUAGAUAACCGUUUGAUAGUGUAGGUCUGAAAAUAUUGGAAUUAUCUAAAAAUUUUGGAGUUUUUGAGCUUUAAAGGCAUUGAAGUAGUUUUCUUCGUUUAGGGGCUGCUUUUGCUUUAAUUUAGCCAUUUUAUGUUGUUUUCUUGUCAAAUUAAAAUCAUAAUUAUAUUAUAGAAGUUGUAAGAGUCUGUAGUAUAAUUUUUAUGAUUUUUGGUGAAAGAUAAGGUGAUUUGAAAAAUAAAAACCGCGGCUGUUUUUUGGCAUUUUGGCCACAUUCAGGUCAUCUUUUGUAAAAAUUAACUCCAGAAAUGGAAUCUACGCGAAAAAUGAAGUGAGGGGGUGUAUUUUAGCAAUUUUUGGCGACCGGAAAAUUCGCCGGUGGCCAGCGGCGGCACCGUCGGCAGCUACCAUGGCCACCAGCUGAAGAAGGCUUCCGAAGAAGAAGAGAAAGAAAUGGUUGUGAAGUGGAGGAAGAAGGAAGAAAAGAAAAAAAGGAAAGAAAAGAAAGAAAAAUGAUAGGUUGGGCUAAUUUUUAUUUAUUUUGUGGGCUUGUUUCUUAUUUUCGGUUGGGCUAGAAGGUCAAACCCAAGUUUUAUUUUGGUUGGAUUUGAGUGAUAAAAGACGGGUUGGCCUGUGUGUUUUGGCUUGGACUUUUGGCUGGGCUUAGGUAGUAUCUGGCCCAAGCGCCUGUUGGGUUAGGAAAACCAGAAAUGAAUAUGCUCUUUCGUCCCUGUACUUUUACUUUAUUGUAUUGUGACCCUAAAUACUUUAAAUUUCUUUCAAUUAGGUCCUUAAUUAAUUACAAAUAGGUCCUUAAACUUUAUUUUCCUUUAAUUUGGACCCCUAAUUUUUGUAGUAAUUAUAAUUUAACCCUGAAACUUUAUUAAUCUUUGUAAUUAGGUCCCUGAUAGAUUUGAUUUCUUAAAUAGAAGUUGCUUUUCUUCUUAGAUUAUUAAUUAUAUUCCAUUUGAAUGAUUUAAUUGAUUGAUUUCAUAUUUAUUUUCAUUUUUUAUGAUUUAUUUGUUAAUUAAAUUGGUGCCUUAAUGAUUCUGUUAAUUUUGGAGUUAAAUAGGGCAAAUCCCAUUCCUCAUUAGCUACUACGUCAAGGGAGGUUUCUUCUUGUGUCAUUUUAAAUUCUCCUAUGUGCUCCUAUGUGAUUUUAUGUGUGUAAUUGCAUGUUUUUGAAUGUUUUUAUUUUAUUUUAUUUAGUUAUUCAUUUUAUUUGUUUUUUUAAUUUUGUAUAUUUAUUUUAAUUUAAUUUUUUAUUAUUUGAGAGGCAUUUAAAUGCCAAAUUGUAAUCGUUAGAUUAUUAUUUUAUUUUUCGCCCUUUUAGAUUGUAGUUAGGACCCCCGAAUAUAAUAGUUAGGUUUCUAUUUACUUUUAUUUAUUUGUGUGCUUGCAUGCUUGUGUGAUUACGUGUUUACUCGCUCCUUUAGGAUAUUUGCAUCUAGAUAUUAUGCUCACGUGUUAUGUGCUACGUGCUCUUAUAUGUUUAUUUGUUUUAAUUUAUGUAUUAUUUAUUUUACUAUGUAUUAUUAAUGCAUGGCGUCACCACACUAGUCCAACGCUAGUUGUAGUUUCUCCCUCCGUAUGCUUGCUAGUUCAACGCUAGUAAGGUUCUUUAGAAAUGGGUUAGUCCAACGCUAGACCCUUAUAUUGUUCAUGUAUUAGAUUCAUUUGUGUGAUAUUCAUUACAUUUUCAUGCAUAUUUUUAUUCUAGGAUCUUUUCUCAUUUGCAUGAUAUUUUCUAUUAUAUUAUCCUCUAUCCCCUACCCUCUACAUGUGUUAAUCAUAUCAUUUAGAAUUGCAUUUCAUUUAAGAAAUUGUGGAAUAAGUUAGUUCAUUUGCUUGUUCAUAUUAGGAGAAUUAUUCUUUAAAUAUGGAUAUGGGUGAUUAUAACUAUUUAGUUUAAAUACCCCAUUAAUCUUUGUAUAAGAAAAUUAUGUCACGAGUUUUCGCCUCCCGUACCCAUUAUGUUGCAUUCCCUAUUCUUUGAUCACUUAUAUCUAUGUAUACAAUUUAAUUUUCUUUUCUUUUUCAUUAAAUUUCAUCAUUCGUAUAUUCGUGACCCCUUCAAGGAAUUAUUUUUGACAUUCGCAAUUAAUACGAUUGGUAUCAAUUAAACCCUUGAAUGGACAUUUUGUCCCUCUCGAUAUUUUUAUUUGCAUCCAUGUAGGAAACAUCCAAAUGUGAUAAAUUUAAGGGUUAGAUUAAGAAAAUUUUGACUAAACCACGCAACUAGCUUAGACUAGGUUGAAAGGGUGCCUUAGAUUUGAGAUAAUCAAACCUUUGCAUUCCCUUUUUUCAACUGACUCCCGAACUCAUUUUCUCUGUUUUCAAAGACCUGGAGUUGUCGAAAAGAGUUUUAUUUUAUUUUAUUUAAAAAUAUUUUUGGGUGACUUGGUACACCAAAACUCAAUACCAAGUGGCGACUCCUAUUUUUUCUUAAAAACACUUUUUAGACUAAAUUUUGGACCCAAACUGUCGCAUUCUUUAAAGUCCCAUUUUAGGUCCUUUUUCACUUAUUUUUGAAUAAAAUCACAUUUUUAUAAACACCACCUCUUAUUUUCUCAUCGCGAAAAAUGGGACGCGACAAACAUCUCCUAGGCCUAAACCUAGAGUUGAACCAUCUCAUGAGUCAUUUUGAGAAGUAUAUCAACGUCUAUUAUGCCAAAAACAAAUGGAAUCAAAUAAAUGCCAUCAAAGUGAGUCUUCUAAGGAGGAAGUAAUUGAAUCCAUUCCUAACGAAGGAGUAUCUCAUUCCAUUGGACCAUUUGUUGAGGAGGUUGACAAAGAGUUGAAGCCGAGCAACGAACAAGCGCUUGAAAAUCUUGGAGUUACAUCGACAUUAGAGUCUAGUCAUGAACUCGUUGGGAAAGUUUGUGAGAAAAUUGUUGUAACCCAUGAGAGUGAGAAUAGUGUUGUAGAGCUUGAAUAUGAGGUAACAACCGAGGGCAUUAAGCUAGAAAACAAGAUGGGAGAAUCUGAUGAGAGGAUGAAAAUAGCUCUUAUGUGUUCGGCCAAGGGAAUAAGCAAAGCUAGGAAACAUGGCUUGUUUACUAACUUAUUUGCUCCUAAUUUCCUUCCUUUUUCUCAGGUUAAGCAAGGCCAAAUGGAGAUAACCAUACAAUGUUCUAUCCCAAAGUCGCUUGUACAAUUUACUGGGUUCCAUGGAGUUUGUCUUCUAGGAGUUAAAUCAAUAUGGUAUCCUUUCAUGGAAUUGGUUAAGUUCAAAUCUGUUAGUACCUUCGGUGAGUCAAUCUAUGUUCAUCAUGACGGGAAGACUCCAAAUUCUAGUUCUAGUUUUUUAACUAUGGUUCAUUCAUCAUCUUUACCUUGUUUUGAGCAUGUUUCUAGUCAUAAUUUUUGCUUUUCUUUUGCCAAUUUUCAAGGGAAGUUUGAUGAGCCAGCUAUGAAUAAUCUAGUGGAAUUUGAUGCCUAUGUUUUUGCACCUUGUCUUUGUGACAAAGUGUAGCUGAAUUUUGUGAUCAUUCAAGUCGUUUCUAAGGGUUUAUUUGCAGUUGAAAUUCAUGAGUUUUCGUGUUUGUUUCAGCCUAUUGAAUCUCAUUUUUAGGAAUAUACAUUCCAUCGCUAUGAAGAUCCCUAUCUAAUGGGUGCUAAUGGUAAGUAUUCAGGUGGUUUUAUAUCUAAGCUUGCUGAUAAAAAAUUUUCUUGUGUAGGUUCUUCCUUGGUAGCUAAUUUUGAGCCAAGGAGUAUGCUGUCAAUUAGAUCAUGCUUCGCGUUGUUGCUCGUAUGGAUUUUGCAGUUAUCUGAGAGACACAUUGCUUGGAUCUUUUUCGUGAAGAUUGACAUUGUGUUGUCUCUUUCUUCCCAUACCUUCGAUUUGAGACAAAUCACCUUCAAAAGGAGGAGAAUGAUAAAGGGCUCAAGGUUGUGCAAACUCCACAUGCUCAAGUUGUUCAAGUUCCAAGUGGUCCGAUCAUGAGGUCUCGUGCAAGAAAGCUUAGAGAUUCAUUACAAGCACUUGUUUGUUCUAUUAAAGAUUGCAUUGGUGAAGAUAUGCGAACCAUCGAAGACUUUCAACUUAAAGAGUUUCUAUGUGUUACUUUGCUCCAGUUUGUUGUCUCAAAUGAAGAGUAGUUUAGUUAGUUAUUUUUUUUACUUAGUUGAGUCAUUUGAGCAAGGGUUUAAAUGUCAAUUCCGUUGAUGAUUUUAGUCAUUUAUUUAGAGCUCAAAUUCAGCCAGAAUUUGUCUUCUUUUAGCCGAAUUAAUUAGUCAUUAGUUUAGUGAAUUAGUGAAUCCAAUUCACAUUAGGGUUUAUAGUCAUGUAUGGCAAUAAAUAGCCUAUUUUUUUCCAAGGGUGAAUGAGAAUUUUCCAGAAUUAUUGUGAGC